UGAAUUCAAUAAGACAAGUCUUCCAUUGAGCAUGCUUGGGCAAGUACAGCUGGAAUAGAAAAGAUAGUGGAUUCCUUGGCUUCCUCCAAGUGGACUGAGGGUUGAAGUAUUUUUCCAGUCAUGUUCUUGAACACCAACUUUCAUGGCAUGCUGACAUUUCCAGACU
This 166-nucleotide long non-coding RNA is filed under the name Papio anubis (olive baboon). RNAcentral's name for it is "lncRNA (ENSPANG00000043190.1)". The record is from RNAcentral. Lineage: Eukaryota; Metazoa; Chordata; Mammalia; Primates; Cercopithecidae.